RNAcentral lists this long non-coding RNA (284 nucleotides) under Elaeis guineensis (African oil palm). RNAcentral describes it as "long non-coding RNA (EGUI_LNC006806)". Lineage: Eukaryota; Viridiplantae; Streptophyta; Magnoliopsida; Arecales; Arecaceae. The record is from RNAcentral.
UCAAAUGAUAGAACAAAAGAUUUGUGAUCCAUUGGUGAAAAUUUUAUUAUUUUUGGACUUAUAUUUUAAAAGAUAUGCAUGUUUGAAAAACAUGAGUCGACCCAUGAGUCGACUCAUGGCACAUGAGAUGAUUGGCACGCUGAAUUUUUGGAUGGCACAAACUUGGCACACCCUGUGAGUCGACCCUCAAGGCAUGAGUCGACCUCUACGGGUUUUGAGCCAAUUUUACAGAACCUUGCUUCCCUUUUGGUUUUCUGGUGUUUUUCCACACAGGUCGACCCAUG